AGUCACUGACGUGGUCUUCCUGUCUGGGUUGGCACCCCCCGUUUGGUUGUGCCGUGGCGGAGAUCUUUGUGGGCUAUACUCUGCCUUGUCUCAGGAUGCGGCAGGGACUGGGAGACUAGUCAGGAUCGAGGAAAAGAUGAACGGAGCAAAGUACAGAGAUAUCUUUGACGAAAACCUGCUCCAGAGCGCUUAGGACCUCAGACUGGAGCGAACGUUCACCUUCCAACAGGACAACGACCCUAAGCACACAGCCAAGACAACGCAGGAGCGGCUUCGGGACAAGUCUCUGAAUGUCCUUGAGUGGUCCAGCCAGAGCCCAGACUUGAACCUGAUCGAACAUCUCUGGAGAGACUUGAAAAUAGCUGUGCAGUGACGCUCCCCAUCCUACCUGACAGAGGUUGAAAGUAUCUGCAGAGAAGAAUGGGAGAAACUCCCUAAAUACAGGUGUACCAAGCUUGUAGCGUCAUACCCAAAACUCAAGGCUGUAAUCGCUGCCAAAGGUGAUUCAACAAAGUACUGAGUAAAUGGUCUGAAUACUUUUGUAAAUGUGAUAUUUCAGUUUUCUUUUUAUACAUUUACCAACAUUUCUAAAAACCUGUUUUUGGUUUGUCAUUAUGGGGUAUUGUGUGUAGAUUGAUGAGGGGGGAAAACUAUUUCAUCCAUUAUAAAUAAGGCUGUAACGUAACAAAAUGUGGAAAAAGUCAAGGGGUCUGAAUACUUUCCAAAUGCACUGUAUACCCUAUAUGUACAAAAGUAUGUGGAUACCCAUUCAAAUUAGUGGAUUCUGCUAUUUCAGCCACACCCGAUGCUGACAGAUGUAUAAAAUUGAGCACACAGCCAUGUGAUCUCCAUAGACAAACGUUGGCAGUAGAAUGGCCUUACUGAAAAGCUCAGUAACUUUCAACGUGGCACUGUCAUAGGAUGCCACCUUUCCAACAAGUAUAUUUGUCAAAUGCCCCAAUGCAUAGUGCACACUGUAAAGUUUGGUGGAGGAGGAAUAAUGGUCUGGGGCUGUUUUUCAUGGUUCAGGCUCCAUAGUUCUAGUGAAGGAAAAUCUUAACUCUACAGCAAACAAUGACAUUCUAGAUGAUUCUGUGCUUCCAACUUUGUGGUAACAGUUAGGGGAAGGCCCUUUCCUUUUUUUAUGAUUAUUAUUAUUAGUUUUUAUUAACAACAAAUCAAUACAGGGAGUACAUGUGGGAACACAAGUAUAUAUGAAUAAUAUACAAUGGACAAUUGGGCUAGGGGGUACAAUAUCACAUUACACAAGGACCUUAUUAAGGGACAUACCUACACUUAUAAUUCUAACUGCUUUUUUGUUAGUAGAGUAUUUGUCUUAAAAUAUAGUUCUAUUUCUUUUUGUAAGGUAAGAAUUUGUUUUUUGUUUGUAAAUUUACAUUUGUGAAUAUGAAAUUUGGCCAAAAGAAUAAUGAAAUGAAUUUCAUAAAAAUGUUUCAGCUUAUUUCUAUCAUAGGUAAAGAAUCCAAGCAAUACAUCUCUCC
Molecule: long non-coding RNA, 1502 nt
Filed under: Salmo salar (Atlantic salmon)
Lineage: Eukaryota; Metazoa; Chordata; Actinopteri; Salmoniformes; Salmonidae
Description: lncRNA (ENSSSAG00000090966.1, ENSSSAG00020066443.1)
Source: RNAcentral